AGCGGAGAGGCCCCGGGCCCCGAGCGGAGCGGAGCGGAGAGGCCCCGGGCGGAGCGGCGGGCCCGCUCCGGACAGCGCCCGCCGGUCCCGCCCCUCCCGCUUCGCCCAAGGCGCAAACCCAACCGUGGCAGGGGAGCUUUCACCGAAGCGGCCGCGUCAACAGAUACACAAGUAAGCACUGACUUCCUCUGUAGAAGAACCUCACGAAAAGCACCCAUUGAAAGAAAAUAAACUACCCGAAAGCACGCAUUGAAAGUAGCACUUCGGCCGAAGGAAGAGGUCUGCAGCACACGACUAGGGGGAAAGGAGCAGCCUUGCCGUCCUACACGCACCUCCAGCAGCGGCCCCCGCGCGGGGAGCGUGCGGGGCAGGGCCGGUCCCAGCGCCCGCUGCCCUCUCCCGGCGUGCACCGCCUCGCCGCGCACCUCGGACUCCAUUUCCAGGCCACGCCGCACCAAGUUCUCCGGGCGAGUUCUUCUGCCGGCCGCCUCGCCGGACUGAGUGAGGAGAAAAAGCGAUCGGCGAGGCGAGGCGGGAAGCCCAUGGAGAGCGGCGGGGCAGGCCGAGGGACGGCUGAGACGCUGCCGUGCGCGGCGGCAGCUGCUCCGCGGGAGCGGGACAGCCUGAGAGGAACGAGGAACGGCACCCGCCCGCAACGCCCCGGAGAGCGCCCGCCCGCCGCAAGCCGGAGACUUACCCUUGGUGAGCAUGUCCAGCACUCCCGACUUCUCCAAGUACUGGCGGAACUGCUCCCGCUUGGAGUCCGCGGCCUGAGGGAGGACGCCCACACGGUCAGAUCGGCGGCGCGCCCCGCCUCGACUGCGGAGGCGGCCCUUUAGCACAGGCCGGUCCCGCUCUCCGCCGCAGAGGCGGCACGAAGGGCCGAGCCGGUGUCUGUCGGCGGCCCGCCGCUCCGCGCAGCCGGCACGGAGAGCGGCACCGCGCCCACGCCGGCGCGCUCCCCCCUACCUUGUGGUGCGCCAUCUGACCCGCACGGCGCCUGCCCCGGCCGCGCGCCUGCGCCCUGCGCUUUAACGGCGAGAGCGCGUCCCCGCGGUUGCCACGGCGACGGCGCCGCGGCAACGGCAGCGGCCGGGGCCGGGCCCGCGCGCCGCCCGCGCUCCCCUCAGGGCGGCCGCGCCGCCUCGGGGCGGCCUCGCCGUCCCGCCGCCGCCCGAGGGGAAGCCGAGGCCCGGCGUUGUGCCCCCUCUUCUUGCGCGGCUCUGCCUCUUCUCCCGCUCUGCCCAGCUCUCCUCGCCGGGGACGGUUCCGGGGCUCAGCUCAGCCCCGCAGCUCUCCGCGGAGAAGGCGAGCGGGGCCGCGCCGCGGGGUUCGGGCGGAGCUGUCCUGCGGGUCGCUGGAAUUCUUUCUGGUUUACAUAGUAAGCCUUCGGGUUUGUGAAAUUCCAAGUGUCUGAUUAAUAAAUUUCAGUAGCUGCAGCUGACUGAAAUCAACCAGCAGCGGCUGCAGAGGUGCUGUGAGGCAUUGAAGAGUGGUGAAAUCUUCGCGUCGAAAGUCUUUUGCCUUAGCCUGUUUAAAAAAAAAAAAAAAAAAAAAGAAGAAGCUGUUACACCUGUUUAUUUUUCUGAAACGCUGACAGAUAAAAUCUAUUUAUUGUAGAAAUUAAAAAAAAAAUAUUAAAAAAAAAGACCAACCAAAUUAUCUUGCACAUAUGAUGUUAGGGAGUUUUCACGCUUUCUCUCCAUGCUCUUCCACAAUGUUUAUAUUUUUCAGUGGUUACUCUUCAUUUGGGAAGGUGCUGUGAUUAAACAAAAUGUCUGACUCAUAUCCAGACAUAAAAAAGUUAAUAAAAUUCCUCUCACUGCAGCAGAAAAAUUCAUUUCUAACUUGUCUUGAACAACAAAAAUACAAAUGUCAUGUCCCAUACAUGAACAUCUAAAUGCUAACUUUCUGUUAUUUAGUCAGCAGGAACAGAGUGCAUUAAAUACAAGGCUUUUUAUUAUGGAGAGAUUAAAUGCACAACAAGCAUUAGCAGUUAUUGCCCACAGGAUUUUACGCAUCAAGAAAUGCAAGAAUCAAAGCCACAGCAGCAGCAUGAACUUGCCUAAGUCACACUAUUACAGUUAUGUAUGUUCCAGGAUAUUAUACAACCUUAAAUUUUACAGCGUAAACACAAUUAUGUAUUUAUGUAUACACAUAGAAGUGAAAAGGAAAGAAACCUACAGCGAAUAGUUUUAAUAGUUCUCGUGUAUAUUUCUUUAAUGCUGCUACAAGCAAAAUAGCAGUUUAGGUUUUCUGGCUUCUUUUAUGCUAGUAUUGUACAGUUUUCAGGCAAUCUGAAACAUGGCUGGCUGUUAAGUAUAAUGACAGUGCACUUUAAGAAUUUCAUUGUGCUGUAACAUCAUUAUGUUAUAUCUCACAGAUUAGUUUUUUCAACAGAUGAACAGUAUGUCAGAUCUGCUAGUAAGAAAUACACACAAAAAUACUAAUGCAUUUCAGCUGUGACCACUUCACCAAGUAUUUACACUGUUUCAGUGCUGUGCACCUCAAAUGAAUGUAUUCCAUACAUUCAAAGCUUGAUUACAAAUGUACCAUAAUAUUUUGUUAAUCUUUGCCUCCUUUAUAAUUUCAAGGUGUUUCAUGGAGCUUCCUUUACACCAUAUGGACCUGAACAGCAAGUGGAUAAAUGUCCUAAUGUUUUGUUAUCCCCAUUAAAAGCAUAAACACAAAUGUUCCUCCUAAACAAGUAGAAGCUUUGCUUGAUUUAAAAGCUUAUCAGAAUUCAGGGGAGAGACAAACAGAAAAGGAGUAGUUUUACUGUUUGAUAAAUCUUUUACAUGUCUUUUGACAUUGUAACUCAAAUCAGGAAGGUACUACCAUAUUUGCUUUUUUUGGUUCUCUGUUUUUGGGGUUUUUUUUUGUUUUGUUUUCCAUAGUAAGCCUUCUGGUUUGUGAAAUUCAAAAUGUCUGAUUAGUAAAUUUCAGUAACUUGUUUUCUGAUUUUGCUGUCUUAUUAGUGUUAUGAAAAAUGUCAAAAGUAAAGCUCACAACAUGUCUGUAAUUCAUGAAGUUUAAAAAAAAAUAGUGGUGUAUUGAAUUCUGACAGUAUACUAAGAAAUUCACUUUGACUGUUGUGUUGAGGAAAUCAGUGGUGAUACACUGAAAAAAAGUACCAUGGAGCCAACAAAUUAGUGAUCUGUUUUGCAAAUGCUUUUUCUCUUUGUAUUUACAACAGCUUGAACAGUGGAAUAAGUUUGACAUUCUGCUUUUGGUCAGCUACCAAAUGUCUGUUUGAAUUCUCACACUGAUUAGGCAGAGACAUGUUUAACAAUAAAUCCUUCUGAGAGUA
Non-coding RNA from Taeniopygia guttata (zebra finch), 3310 nucleotides. The record is from RefSeq and is a predicted model, not a curated record. Lineage: Eukaryota; Metazoa; Chordata; Aves; Passeriformes; Estrildidae.